Molecule: ribosomal RNA, 253 nt
Filed under: uncultured bacterium
Lineage: Bacteria
Description: partial 16S ribosomal RNA
Rfam family: Bacterial small subunit ribosomal RNA
Source: RNAcentral
UACGGAGGAUCCAAGCGUUAUCCGGAAUCAUUGGGUUUAAAGGGUCCGUAGGCGGUUUUGUAAGUCAGUGGUGAAAGCCCAUCGCUCAACGGUGGAACGGCCAUUGAUACUGCAAGACUUGAAUUAUUAGGAAGUAACUAGAAUAUGUAGUGUAGCGGUGAAAUGCUUAGAUAUUACAUGGAAUACCAAUUGCGAAGGCAGGUUACUACUAAUAUAUUGACGCUGAUGGACGAAAGCGUGGGGAGCAAACAGG